UCUAAUGUGGCAGAAUAGUGCGUUGGAUUUAAGAUCCAAAUAUAAAGUUUUAAGCUUUUUUUAGAA
This 66-nucleotide transfer RNA is filed under the name Smaragdina rufimana. Its description in RNAcentral is "tRNA-Leu". It matches the Rfam family "tRNA". From Rfam's summary of the family: Transfer RNA (tRNA) molecules are approximately 80 nucleotides in length. Their secondary structure includes four short double-helical elements and three loops (D, anti-codon, and T loops). Further hydrogen bonds mediate the characteristic L-shaped molecular structure. tRNAs have two regions of fundamental functional importance: the anti-codon, which is responsible for specific mRNA codon recognition, and the 3' end, to which the tRNAs corresponding amino acid is attached (by aminoacyl-tRNA synthetases). tRNAs cope with the degeneracy of the genetic code in two manners: having more than one tRNA (with a specific anti-codon) for a particular amino acid; and 'wobble' base-pairing, i.e. permitting non-standard base-pairing at the 3rd anti-codon position. Lineage: Eukaryota; Metazoa; Arthropoda; Insecta; Coleoptera; Chrysomelidae. The record is from RNAcentral.